Molecule: ribosomal RNA, 253 nt
Filed under: uncultured bacterium
Lineage: Bacteria
Description: partial 16S ribosomal RNA
Rfam family: Bacterial small subunit ribosomal RNA
Source: RNAcentral
UACGGAGGGGGUUAGCGUUGUUCGGAAUUACUGGGCGUAAAGCGCGCGUAGGCGGAUUACUAAGUGAGAGGUGAAAUCCCGGGGCUCAACCCCGGAACUGCCUUUCAUACUGGUAAUCUUGAGUUCGAGAGAGGUGAGUGGAAUUCCAAGUGUAGAGGUGAAAUUCGUAGAUAUUUGGAGGAACACCAGUGGCGAAGGCGGCUCACUGGCUCGAUACUGACGCUGAGGUGCGAAAGUGUGGGGAGCAAACAGG